CCAGACUCCUACGGGAGGCAGCAGUGGGGAAUAUUGCACAAUGGGGGGAACCCUGAUGCAGCGACGCCGCGUGAGUGAAGAAGUAUUUCGGUAUGUAAAGCUCUGUCAGCAGGGAAGAAGAAGGACGGUACCUGACCAAGAAGCCCCGGCUAACUACGUGCCAGCAGCCGCGGUAAUACGUAGGGGGCAAGCGUUAUCCGGAUUCACUGGGUGUAAAGGGAGCGUAGACGGCCGUGCAAGCCAGGAGUGAAAGCCCGGGGCCCAACCCCGGGACUGCUCUUGGAACUGUGCGGCUGGAGUGCGGGAGGGGCAGGCGGAAUUCCUGGUGUAGCGGUGAAAUGCGUAGAUAUCAGGAGGAACACCGGCGGCGAAGGCGGCCUGCUGGACCGUGACUGACGUUGAGGCUCGAGAGCGUGGGGAGCAAACAGGAUUAGAUACCCCAGUAC
RNAcentral lists this ribosomal RNA (446 nucleotides) under uncultured bacterium. Its description in RNAcentral is "bacterial SSU rRNA". It matches the Rfam family "Bacterial small subunit ribosomal RNA", at positions 331 to 793 of the family's 1533-position model. The record is from RNAcentral.